Molecule: transfer RNA, 86 nt
Filed under: Calditrichota bacterium
Lineage: Bacteria; Pseudomonadati; Calditrichota
Description: Calditrichaeota bacterium tRNA-Ser
Rfam family: tRNA
About the family: Transfer RNA (tRNA) molecules are approximately 80 nucleotides in length. Their secondary structure includes four short double-helical elements and three loops (D, anti-codon, and T loops).
Source: RNAcentral
GGAGAGGUGCGAGAGUGGCUGAAUCGGCACGAUUGGAAAUCGUGUGUGCACCCUGUGUACCGUGGGUUCGAAUCCCACCCUCUCCG